ACCUGAUGGUGUGGGCAUUUACAUAAGAGGUCCCUAAAAUACUCUCAUGUCUUAAAAAAUAGUUCCCCAUCCACUUGUGAGAAACAAGUGUUUUCUUUCCUAAGUU
This is a small nucleolar RNA of Malania oleifera, 106 nucleotides long. Lineage: Eukaryota; Viridiplantae; Streptophyta; Magnoliopsida; Santalales; Ximeniaceae. The record is from RefSeq and is a predicted model, not a curated record.